This 459-nucleotide ribosomal RNA is filed under the name uncultured bacterium. RNAcentral describes it as "partial 16S ribosomal RNA". It matches the Rfam family "Bacterial small subunit ribosomal RNA", at positions 338 to 795 of the family's 1533-position model. The record is from RNAcentral.
CCUACGGGAGGCUGCAGUGAGGAAUAUUGGUCAAUGGUCGGGAGACUGAACCAGCCAAGCCGCGUGAGGGAUGAAGGUACAGAGUAUCGUAAACCUCUUUUGUCAGGGAACAAAGGCGGGGACGUGUCCCCGGAGGAGUGUACCUGAAGAAAAAGCAUCGGCUAACUCCGUGCCAGAAGCCGCGGUAAUACGGAGGAUGCGAGCGUUAUCCGGAUUUAAUGGGUUUAAAGGGUGCGCAGGCGGUCUGUUAAGUGAGCGGUAAAAGCACGGGGCUCAACCCGGGCCCGCCGUUGAAACUGGGAGUCUCGAGUUGGAGAGAAGUAUGCGGAAUGCGCGGUGUAGCGGUGAAAUGCAUAGAUAUCGCGCAGAACUCCGAUUGCGAAGGCAGCAUGCCGGCUCCAGACUGACGCUGAGGCACGAAAGCGUGGGUAUCGAACAGGAUUAGAUACCCGAGUAGUC